UUUAUGGGGUGACUGCGUACCUUUUGUAUAAUGGGUCAGCGACUUAUAUUCUGUAGCAAGGUUAACCGAAUAGGGGAGCCGAAGGGAAACCGAGUCUUAACUGGGCGUUAAGUUGCAGGGUAUAGACCCGAAACCCGGUGAUCUAGCCAUGGGCAGGUUGAAGGUUGGGUAACACUAACUGGAGGACCGAACCGACUAAUGUUGAAAAAUUAGCGGAUGACUUGUGGCUGGGGGUGAAAGGCCAAUCAAACCGGGAGAUAGCUGGUUCUCCCCGAAAGCUAUUUAGGUAGCGCCUCGUGAAUUCAUCUCCGGGGGUAGAGCACUGUUUCGGCAAGGGGGUCAUCCCGACUUACCAACCCGAUGCAAACUGCGAAUACCGGAGAAUGUUAUCACGGGAGACACACGGCGGGUGCUAACGUCCGUCGUGAAGAGGGAAACAACCCAGACCGCCAGCUAAGGUCCCAAAGUCAUGGUUAAGUGGGAAACGAUGUGGGAAGGCCCAGACAGCCAGGAUGUUGGCUUAGAAGCAGCCAUCAUUUAAAGAAAGCGUAAUAGCUCACUGGUCGAGUCGGCCUGCGCGGAAGAUGUAACGGGGCUAAACCAUGCACCGAAGCUGCGGCAGCGACACUAUGUGUUGUUGGGUAGGGGAGCGUUCUGUAAGCCUGUGAAGGUGUGCUGUGAGGUAUGCUGGAGGUAUCAGAAGUGCGAAUGCUGACAUAAGUAACGAUAAAGCGGGUGAAAAGCCCGCUCGCCGGAAGACCAAGGGUUCCUGUCCAACGUUAAUCGGGGCAGGGUGAGUCGACCCCUAAGGCGAGGCCGAAAGGCGUAGUCGAUGGGAAACAGGUUAAUAUUCCUGUACUUGGUGUUACUGCGAAGGGGGGACGGAGAAGGCUAUGUUGGCCGGGCGACGGUUGUCCCGGUUUAAGCGUGUAGGCUGGUUUUCCAGGCAAAUCCGGAAAAUCAAGGCUGAGGCGUGAUGACGAGGCACUACGGUGCUGAAGCAACAAAUGCCCUGCUUCCAGGAAAAGCCUCUAAGCAUCAGGUAACAUCAAAUCGUACCCCAAACCGACACAGGUGGUCAGGUAGAGAAUACCAAGGCGCUUGAGAGAACUCGGGUGAAGGAACUAGGCAAAAUGGUGCCGUAACUUCGGGAGAAGGCACGCUGAUAUGUAGGUGAAGUCCCUUGCGGAUGGAGCUGAAAUCAGUCGAAGAUACCAGCUGGCUGCAACUGUUUAUUAAAAACACAGCACUGUGCAAACACGAAAGUGGACGUAUACGGUGUGACGCCUGCCCGGUGCCGGAAGGUUAAUUGAUGGGGUUAGCGGUAACGCGAAGCUCUUGAUCGAAGCCCCGGUAAACGGCGGCCGUAACUAUAACGGUCCUAAGGUAGCGAAAUUCCUUGUCGGGUAAGUUCCGACCUGCACGAAUGGCGUAAUGAUGGCCAGGCUGUCUCCACCCGAGACUCAGUGAAAUUGAACUCGCUGUGAAGAUGCAGUGUACCCGCGGCAAGACGGAAAGACCCCGUGAACCUUUACUAUAGCUUGACACUGAACAUUGAGCCUUGAUGUGUAGGAUAGGUGGGAGGCUUUGAAGUGUGGACGCCAGUCUGCAUGGAGCCGACCUUGAAAUACCACCCUUUAAUGUUUGAUGUUCUAACGUUGGCCCCUGAUCGGGGUUGCGGACAGUGUCUGGUGGGUAGUUUGACUGGGGCGGUCUCCUCCUAAAGAGUAACGGAGGAGCACGAAGGUUGGCUAAUCCUGGUCGGACAUCAGGAGGUUAGUGCAAUGGCAUAAGCCAGCUUGACUGCGAGCGUGACGGCGCGAGCAGGUGCGAAAGCAGGUCAUAGUGAUCCGGUGGUUCUGAAUGGAAGGGCCAUCGCUCAACGGAUAAAAGGUACUCCGGGGAUAACAGGCUGAUACCGCCCAAGAGUUCAUAUCGACGGCGGUGUUUGGCACCUCGAUGUCGGCUCAUCACAUCCUGGGGCUGAAGUAGGUCCCAAGGGUAUGGCUGUUCGCCAUUUAAAGUGGUACGCGAGCUGGGUUUAGAACGUCGUGAGACAGUUCGGUCCCUAUCUGCCGUGGGCGCUGGAGAACUGAGGGGGGCUGCUCCUAGUACGAGAGGACCGGAGUGGACGCAUCACUGGUGUUCGGGUUGUCAUGCCAAUGGCACUGCCCGGUAGCUAAAUGCGGAAGAGAUAAGUGCUGAAAGCAUCUAAGCACGAAACUUGCCCCGAGAUGAGUUCUCCCUGACUCCUUGA
Molecule: ribosomal RNA, 2257 nt
Filed under: Escherichia coli TOP2396-2
Lineage: Bacteria; Pseudomonadati; Pseudomonadota; Gammaproteobacteria; Enterobacterales; Enterobacteriaceae
Also listed under: 1 other name
Description: bacterial LSU rRNA
Rfam family: Bacterial large subunit ribosomal RNA
Source: RNAcentral